This 3280-nucleotide unclassified non-coding RNA is filed under the name Vitis ficifolia. Its description in RNAcentral is "partial external transcribed spacer". The record is from RNAcentral. Lineage: Eukaryota; Viridiplantae; Streptophyta; Magnoliopsida; Vitales; Vitaceae.
CCCUAUGUCGCUCCGAUUCGUCCCUCCCCCCCACCCCCAACGCACACACUCCCCCCUCUCCCCUUUCCCCGGCCCCGGCCCUGAGGUUUGAAACCACCCCCGCCACGCGCCGGCUAUGUCCCCCCGACCCUUCGAUGCCUCUGCUAGUCGGGAUCCCCCCCCCAACCCCCCGUGCCCAUGUCACGUCGUCUUUUCCCCUAAAACUUGGCAAAGGCAUGGAAACUUGGAAGCUUGACCAAAGACACGUGACGUGUGCCACGGGGCCUUGCAUGGUGCCCGCGAGCCAAGCCAAGGUGGCACGCGGCCUUGCAUGGUGCCCUCCUGCGAGCCAAGACAAGGUGGCACGGGGCCUUGCUUGGUGCCCGCGAGGCAAGCCAAGGUGGCACGGGGCCUUGCAUGGUGCCCUCCCGCGAGCCGAGCCAAGGUGCCACGGGGCCUUGCAUGGUGCCCUCCCGCGAGCCGAGCCAAGGUGCCACGGGGCCUUGCUUGGUGCCCGCCCACGAGCCAAGCCAAGCCAAGGUGCCACGGGGCCUUGCWUGGUGCCCKCCCGCGAGCCAAGCCAAGGUGSCACGGGGCCUUGCUUGGUGCCCUCCGGCGAGCCAAGCCAAGGUGGCACGGGGCCUUGCAUGGUGCCCGCUCGCGAGCCAAGCCAAGACACGCGACGCGUGCCACGGGGCCUUGCUUGGUGCCCACGAGCCAAGCCAAGACACGCGACGCGUGCCAUGGGGCCUUGCUUGGUGCCCACGAGCCGAGCCAAGACACAUGACGCGUGCCACCUCCCGUGCGACGACAGCUACAAUGACCCUCGAUAUGGUGCUAGAGGCUGUGCUAGGACACGUGACCCAUGCCAUGAUGCGUGCCACGGCCCGAGGCACGACACGUCUCGCAUGCCACGACCCCCAUGCCAUGGUGCCACGACACCUGUAAUGACCCAUUCCAUGGUGGUAGAGGCUGUGCCAAGACACAUGCUGCGUGCCCUAUCUGGAUUUCGACCCUGAUGCCUUGACAAGGUUCCGGAUUAUGGACUAUUGCUAAUCACGGAAUGUUAUUAAUCCAUGGAUUCAUGUUGCAAAGGUUGUUCGCUAUUUUUUUUAUAUGGUUUUUUUAAGUAAAAAAAUUUUAAAAUAAAUUUUGUUUGGACAAUCCUUGGAUUCUUUUUUAAGAUUUCUUUUUCCCAUAUCAAAUACAAAUUUUAAAAAUAUUUAAAGCAAGUUUUACUUAUUUUUCCCCCAUUUUUCUAAGUAAAAAAGCUAAAAAAAAUAUUUUUUGGCCAAGAGAGCUUCACCAAUCCUUGAAUUCGUCUUCCAUAUAUUUUUCCCAUGUGAAAUACAUUUUUUWAAAAUAUUUACACUAUUUUUUCCUCAUUUUUACUAUUUUUUAAGUAAAAAAUUCAAAAAAAAAAAUUAUUUUUUGAGAGAUAAGUUGCAUUAAUUCAUGGAUUCCUAUUCCAGAUAUUUUUCCCAUGUGAAAUACAAUUUUUAAAAAUAUUUUCACUAUUUUUUGGUAUUUUUUACUAUUUUUCCCUAUUUUUCCCUAUUUUUCGGACAAAAAAAUUAAAAUAAAUAUUUUCUGGGCCGAAAUUUUUUUUUUUUUUUUUCCUUGGGUUCAUAUAAUUAUUAUAAAGAGAUUCAGCAAAAAAAACGGAAUUAAAAACUCUUUUUUCAUUAAAAAAUGGCAUUAUGUCUCCUCAAGCAUGGGUGAUGUCUCCUCAAGGCAUUUCCAAAACGGCCCAAAAUGCUCUUUAAGGGGGGGGUGCUGUCCUCAAUGGGCUGGCAGCACCACCCGCCCAGGCACGCUGCAGCGCGUGCCGCCCUUGGCGUGCAGGCCGCCCAUGCCACCCUAGGCAUGGUGCCCCCGCAUAUGCCACCCUCAAGCCCACGACACGCUAAUGCGAAGAGAGCACGCCCGCGACACCGUGGGGAGCCCUCGCACGCAACAGCAGUCACCCCGUGCCCCGCACACGCUGCACCCCGGACGCGUCCCAUGCCCCCCAUGCGGACACGCCCUCCCCCCCAUGCAACGAGUGCCCUCCCCGCGCACUCGGCCCCGUCCCUCCCCGUCUCGGCUCGACCCCUCGAGCGAGCAUGUUGCCUCGGAAAAACGUGCCAGUGGCCAACGUCGCGGCUCACCCCGGGGGGCUCACCCAUGCCUCCCGCCCGACGCUGCCCAUCAAAAGGCACACGGACGCCCCUCCCCCCAUGCAACGAGUGCCCUCCCCGUGCACUCGGCCCCGUCUCGGCUCGCCGAGGAGCCCUCGAGCCCUCGAGCGAGCACGUUGCCUCGGACAAGCUUGCCAAUGGCCAGCGUCGCGGCUCACCCCGGGGGCUCCCCCAUGCCUCCCGCCCGACGUUGCCCAUCGAAAGCCACACGGAUGCCCCUCCCCCCCAUGCAACGAGAGCCCUCCCCGGGUGCUCGGCCCCCCGUCUCGRCUCAUCGAGGAGCCCUCAAGCCCUCGAGCGAGCAUGUUGCCUCGGAAAAACGUGCCAGUGGCCAACGUCGCGGCUCACCCCGGGGGGCUCACCCAUGCCUCCCGCCCGACGUUGCCCAUCGAAAGGCACACGGAUGCCCCUCCCCCCCAUGCAACGAGUGCCCUCCCCGGACACUCGGCCCCGUCCCGGCUCGUCGAGGAGCCCUCAAGCCCUCGAGCGAGCAUGUUGCCUCGGAAAGGAGCCAGACGCAUCGUCGCCAUGCCUAUAUCGGUCCUACGAAGGCUUCACUCGUUGCUCCCGUGUGCUCGUCAGGAGUCGCCUCCGGACGAGUCGCGGUUCGACGCGUGAUGCCGUGUCGUAGUGAACCUGAUGGCGUGUGAGUGGUGUUUGGGUCGCGUGGGUCGGCAGGCUCCUUGCUCGUGCAACGAACUGUCGCCGCACCCCCCUCUUCAUUCUAAGCCUCAAGCGCUGCAACAAGCCUUGGGCGUCGCGAUGCCGUGGUUCCUGUGUUGCCUUCCUAACGGAUGGAAUUGUCCCUCGAACGUUGCCUAUCUCCGCCCGGCUCCCGCUCACGCGGUGCGGGCGGACCUCGAAAGCGGUCGCCGCGUCCCAUGGUCGCCCCACGCAUGCGCACGCAUGAGAGGGGUCGAGCAUGGCCCGCGACAGCCGCUCGUGCUCUCGGAUGCGGAACCUUAAAACGGGCGUGGGGUCUCUCGGGAUCCCGUACUCGCUCGAGCUAAGCGUUCGUCGCUAGACGCGUACGACGGCCGUCCCCGCCUUUGCCCUCCCGUCCCGCUCCCCUCGGGGGGCGUCGGUCAGGCGCAUGCGGUGCCGGCGUCGCACAGGAAUGC